Molecule: RNase P RNA, 375 nt
Filed under: Bacteroides sp.
Lineage: Bacteria; Pseudomonadati; Bacteroidota; Bacteroidia; Bacteroidales; Bacteroidaceae
Description: RNase P RNA component class A
Rfam family: Bacterial RNase P class A
About the family: Ribonuclease P (RNase P) is a ubiquitous endoribonuclease, found in archaea, bacteria and eukarya as well as chloroplasts and mitochondria. Its best characterised activity is the generation of mature 5'-ends of tRNAs by cleaving the 5'-leader elements of precursor-tRNAs.
Source: RNAcentral
GCAGCCGGGCGUUCCGUCGCCUGCCGGCGUAUGAACGGCAGGAGGAAAGUCCGGGCAACAAAGAGCGCCUUACUUCCUUAGGGAAGCUAUCGGCGACGGUAGAGUAUCGUGACAGAAAACAACCGCCUGGAGCGCUUUUGCUUCAGGCAAGGGUGAAAAGGUGGGGUAAGAGCCCACCGGGCGCCACGGCGACAUGGCGUGCCGCACGACUUGAGGGUUGCAAUGCCAAGUAUACCGGCAGCAUGUAGGGUUGCUCGCCCGAUGCCGGGGGGUAGGCAGCGCAGAUAAAUGACGGAACGUCGGCCCUUAUGCACCACCCUUGUGUGUGCACACAGGAGCCGGCGACAUAACCCGGCUUAUANCCCGACUGCAUCC